Astyanax mexicanus (Mexican tetra) is the source of this 1006-nucleotide long non-coding RNA. RefSeq lists it as uncharacterized. Lineage: Eukaryota; Metazoa; Chordata; Actinopteri; Characiformes; Acestrorhamphidae. The transcript is spliced from 4 exons. The record is from RefSeq and is a predicted model, not a curated record.
UCACUGCAUCUACACUGCAUUGGCCAGACCUUAUUUGUGGGACUACAGUUCUCUCACUUUCUUUAAUCCAUCUUCCCAGUAGCUGAGAAAGUGGUGCAGCGCUGAAGGACGUUAUUUGCCUGCGUAUUAGACUAUUACAGGCUGACUCAUCGGAGGGUACGGGAUGAAAAAGGGCAACAACUGUUGGCGUCCCGCUGUGGGGCCUCUUCUGGAGCAGAGUGUGUGAAGAGGUUUAAAGAAAGAGAGUCAAAGCUCCUGUCAUACAGGAAAGCAGGGGCAGAGCCAACUGCCCAGCAGACAAGCGGACCAAACUGGAGGUGGUGAAGAGAACUGAGCGAGAACCAACAUCACCACAUCUGAAAGAGAGCAAAGCAGGAAUGUCUCCAGAUUCUCUGAUUCAUUCGCGGAUACUGUUUAAUGAAGAUGGUGGGAUAUUCAAAGCAUUCACAGUUUUUACGAAAUGGUGUUCCAUUGUGAAUACAAUAUGCAUCUGUGAGUGUGCAGUCCUGCAGUCUCCAGAAGAUGCUUGACCUAGGAGAGAUGUUUUGGCUCCUCCCCUUUGCUGACCUGGGAAAAUAUCCUGCAUAGACACAUCCGCUUUAGCUGUGUUCCAAAGUCUAGGCUGUAGUUGAGGUAGAGCGGGUCCUGUGAAGAGUCCUGCUCCAUAGCCUGUGGGUUGCACAUAUGGAACAGUCUAACUGUGGUGAUGUCUUGUGCAAACAUCACAUGAUGACACUGAGGCACGAAAUUCAGCCUACACUUUGGAACGCAGCUACUGACUGUUCUCUUGCUAGUACUGUUAUAUAUUCAUCAUUCAUUUUUGGGCAGCAUUAGUGCUGGUUUGAUUGAUCUGUUUUUAGAGCAUGUAGCUUUUGUAUAUUUUUUUUCUUAUACUUUCAGUUUAUUAGUUUCUAAAUUUGUUUGAUUUGUCUGAUUUUGGCAUGUAUUCACUAUAUACAAUUUCCCCAUUUCUUGUGAAUAAAAUCAUCCUGGUUUAUUACAUCAA